UACGGAGGAUGCAAGCGUUAUCCGGAAUGAUUGGGCGUAAAGCGUCCGCAGGUGGCAAUGUAAGUCUGCUGUUAAAGAGUCUAGCUCAACUAGAUAAGAGCAGUGGAAACUACGUAGCUAGAGUACGUUCGGGGCAGAGGGAAUUCCUGGUGUAGCGGUGAAAUGCGUAGAGAUCAGGAAGAACACCAGUGGCGAAGGCGCUCUGCUAGGCCGUAACUGACACUGAGGGACGAAAGCUAGGGGAGCGAAUGGG
RNAcentral lists this ribosomal RNA (253 nucleotides) under uncultured bacterium. Its description in RNAcentral is "partial 16S ribosomal RNA". It matches the Rfam family "Bacterial small subunit ribosomal RNA", at positions 524 to 776 of the family's 1533-position model. The record is from RNAcentral.